Molecule: ribosomal RNA, 614 nt
Filed under: uncultured bacterium
Lineage: Bacteria
Description: bacterial SSU rRNA
Rfam family: Bacterial small subunit ribosomal RNA
Source: RNAcentral
CCUACGGGAGGCAGCAGUAAGGAAUAUUGGUCAAUGGAGGCAACUCUGAACCAGCCAUGCCGCGUGCAGGAAGAAGGCCCUAUGGGUCGUAAACUGCUUUUGUACCAGAGAAAACCCGAGUACGUGUACUCGGUUGAUAGUAUGGUAAGAAUAAGCAUCGGCUAACUUCGUGCCAGCAGCCGCGGUAAGACGAAGGAUGCAAGCGUUAUCCGGAUUCAUUGGGUUUAAAGGGUGCGUAGGCGGACUGAUAAGUCAGUGGUGAAAUCUCUCAGCUUAACUGAGAAACUGCCAUUGAUACUGUUAGUCUAGAGUAUAGAUGACGUUGGCGGAAUAUGACAUGUAGUGGUGAAAUACUUAGAUAUGUCAUAGAACACCGAUUGCGAAGGCAGCUAACGAAACUAUAAACUGACGCUGAGGCACGAAAGUGCGGGGAUCAAACAGGAUUAGAUACCCUGGUAGUCCGCACCGUAAACGAUGAUUACUCGUUGUUGGCAAUAUGACCGUCAGCGACCAAGCGAAAGCGAUAAGAAUCCACCUGGGGAGUACGCCGGCAACGGUGAAACUCAAAGGAAUUGACGGCGNGAGAGNGCGACGGACGACGACGAGGGAGGAGG